AAUAGAUACCCAGGUAGUCCAUGCCGUAAACGAUGUCUACUAGCCGUUGGGGCCUUUGAGGGCUUUAAGUGGCGCAGCUAACGCGAUAAGUAGACCGCCUGGGGAGUACGGUCGCAAGACUAAAACUCAAAUGAAUUGACGGGGGCCCGCACAAGCGGUGGAGCAUGUGGUUUAAUUCGAUGCAACGCGAAGAACCUUACCUGGUCUUGACAUAGUAAGAACUUUCCAGAGAUGGAUUGGUGCCUUCGGGAACUUACAUACAGGUGCUGCAUGGCUGUCGUCAGCUCGUGUCGUGAGAUGUUGGGUUAAGUCCCGCAACGAGCGCAACCCUUUUCCUUAUUUGCCAGCGGGUUAAGCCGGGAACUUUAAGGAUACUGCCAGUGACAAACUGGAGGAAGGCGGGGACGACGUCAAGGUCAUCAUGGCCCUUACGACCAGGGCUACACACGUGCUACAAUGGUCGGUACAAAGGGUUGCUACCUAGCGAUAGGAUGCUAAUCUCAAAAAGCCGAUCGUAGUCCGGAUUGGAGU
This 531-nucleotide ribosomal RNA is filed under the name uncultured bacterium. RNAcentral describes it as "bacterial SSU rRNA". It matches the Rfam family "Bacterial small subunit ribosomal RNA", at positions 777 to 1304 of the family's 1533-position model. The record is from RNAcentral.